RNAcentral lists this ribosomal RNA (254 nucleotides) under uncultured bacterium. RNAcentral's name for it is "partial 16S ribosomal RNA". It matches the Rfam family "Bacterial small subunit ribosomal RNA", at positions 524 to 777 of the family's 1533-position model. The record is from RNAcentral.
GACGGAGGAUGCAAGUGUUAUCCGGAAUCACUGGGCGUAAAGCGUCUGUAGGUGGUUUAAUAAGUCAACUGUUAAAUCUUGAGGCUCAACCUCAAAAUCGCAGUCGAAACUAUUAGGCUAGAGUAUAGUAGGGGUAAAGGGAAUUUCCAGUGGAGCGGUGAAAUGCGUAGAGAUUGGAAAGAACACCGAUGGCGAAGGCACUUUACUGGGCUAUUACUAACACUCAGAGACGAAAGCUAGGGUAGCAAAUGGGG